RNAcentral lists this long non-coding RNA (627 nucleotides) under Gallus gallus (chicken). Lineage: Eukaryota; Metazoa; Chordata; Aves; Galliformes; Phasianidae. The record is from RNAcentral.
CUGUGAAGAUGCUACAUGCUAUAGUAAUGUGCCUUUUCUUCUUACGAACAGUUUCACAUUUCAACGCAAUAACACCUAACUGAGCCCAGCAAAGAAUAAUAAUGAAGAACAGCAACACUGCGAUGACAAUACUUUGGAUAAAGUCGAACUGUCGUUCCAUGUGAGUUCUAAGUUUCAUCUUUGUUUCUCCUUCUCUGUUUAAUUCUGUUACUUCACAGCUGUAAUUUCCAUCCGGUGCUUCUGCAUUUUUAAGUCGUAGCGAGGCAAUACCCUUAAAUAAAUCCGCCUUAGAAAGGAAGUUAGCUGAUGGAACUGACUCGUGCCUGUAAAUGCGCUGUUCUGGUCCAUUAAAAGAAAAAAUUACUUGUCCUUGCCUCUUCCACGAAACAUGCAUGCUGCUGUCAUUGUUCUCCUUCAGGUUAGUCACGAUGCAAGGUAAAACAACUGUAUCGUUACAGGCAUAUUUCUCAACAAAAUCUACUGCGUUAAACACCAGCUGGGUGGAACCUGCGCCCAGGACGGCGAGGAGCGCUCCGACGGUCAGCAACCACAUGGCGGAGCGCCAGCGGGCAACGCGGCCGGCUACCGACCGACCUCCACAGCCGCCGCCGCAGCGGGAUAACCGGG